Phragmites australis (common reed) is the source of this 987-nucleotide long non-coding RNA. RefSeq lists it as uncharacterized. The record is from RefSeq and is a predicted model, not a curated record. Lineage: Eukaryota; Viridiplantae; Streptophyta; Magnoliopsida; Poales; Poaceae. The transcript is spliced from 3 exons.
CGUCUGUGUGCAUCUCAAAGCAACCCCGGGCGCGUCCACGCACUAGCCGAGCCAGCGCAGCAGUUUGAGCGAGCCGAGAGCAAGCCAACCUCAAGAUACCUGUCCAGCGAGGGACGUGCCUGUGGCGCUCCAUCGCGGCAGCUCGGUGUGUGGUGCAGUGCGGCAGAUCUAUGGCGCCGGUGGCCGCUUCUUCCUCCCUUGUAGCAGGUUUUCGUUUGGUCCCGCCGCGGUCGUUUGGACUGGAUACUUGGCCAUGGCGGCGGCUACACGCGGCGGCGAUGAGUACACUCCCAUCCGAUGACCAAAUCGCAAGCACCAGAUCUUGUGGGCAGAGGUGCUUGAGAUCUCCCAAUAGGAGAAAAAGGUGUGAAACUCUUCGUAUUUGCUCAUGCUGUUCCCAUCCACAUGAGGCAUUCUAACACUAGUACUGAGGAGGUUGAGAUGAACAUGAGGCGCACAUGGAGCAAAAAGAGUAGCACUACAUUCAAGUCAAAUGCUGCAUAAGUAACUCCUGAUCAGAACAAUUCAGUACUCUAUUUUUCUUAGUAAGAACAUGCUGAAAAUACCUAGCUACAUAGGUUUAAGUAUGUAUUUGUUGGCUGUGAUAAAACUACACAAAUCUUUACUAACAUGGAUGCAUAUAGGCUGUCAGUUUUACUGCACAAAUAUGUUGGCUUGGUGCAGAGCAAAGAUGACAGCUUAGCGAAGAUGGGCCUUCCGACAAGUGAUGAAAUGCAGAAGGAAGAAAUUGCCUGCGUAUGCAAAGAUGAUGGCAAACUGGGGGACCUCAAACUGUUCGCAAAGGCUCAAUUUGGCUACAAUACUUUUAGUUAGAAUGAAUAUGGUUGUAAUGUAAAAGUUGUAUGUCUGUAUUGUAAAGAACUAUGUGCAAUUUCAAGGUUGCUUCAAAAUUGAAUGUGAUAUUGAUUUCUGUACAAAUAAGAGCAUCAUCUGAAGGAAAGAAGGAUUGCUGGUCAAAGUAAGCAU